Molecule: non-coding RNA, 29 nt
Filed under: Rattus norvegicus (Norway rat)
Lineage: Eukaryota; Metazoa; Chordata; Mammalia; Rodentia; Muridae
Source: RNAcentral
UCUGUUUUAAGUGGGUUCUGUUCUUGACU